Molecule: long non-coding RNA, 792 nt
Organism: Heterocephalus glaber (naked mole-rat)
Lineage: Eukaryota; Metazoa; Chordata; Mammalia; Rodentia; Bathyergidae
Source: Ensembl
UGAGCAUUGAGUUCCAGGAUUUCAGAGCUAGUUUACACAAGAAUAGCUCUCUAGCAAGCUAGUAGAACUGGGAGGGGCUAAACCAGCUGGCUAGAAAAACUGGUCCUCUUGCUGUAGUCAUGGUUUCUAUAGUGUGGAUAGCUCCCGCCAUUGGCAGGGCACAUCAGUAUCUGGGAACUGACUGUAUUGUGAUUGUCAUUAACCCUUGCAGAGAUUGGAGAAAAGAAAAAAAAGAAAAAAAGAAGAAGAAUAUCUUUAUCUCCAGAAGGAUAAAGUGCUUCUAUCAUUAACAACAGCAACAUAAUACCUAUAUGCGAUGGAACUCAGACCUCACAAGCGGCAGAACCACUGAGCUAAAUCCCUGGCCCUGUUAUCCUUUAAUCUUAAAGAGACAGGUGGGCUAAAAUGGACAAAGGGCUCUGUGCUGCACAACUCAGCAAUCUCCUGUGGUGAGCCCGGCUACUCAGAGCAGGAAGUCCAACACCAUUUACCAAGCUUCUUGUCCUACUCCUAGAGAACUCAGCAUGUUGUUCAAGAGGCUAUGUGAAAAAGGACACAUAAGAUGCCAGUUCCAAAGGUUGGAAAAAAUUUUAAAUAUUAAAACAUGACAGCAUUUUACUCCUGAAUAUUUCAGUAAGCACCCUGAAAAUGUUACAGUCACUCGAUCAGUUAUUGCAAAAUAGACUUGCAGGUCAACAUAAAGAAGGGGCAUAGAACACUUUCCCUUGGCGGAAUCAGUUGUCACAAAGGUGGUCCAGCUGCUCCUUGCGACUCCAGCACCAACCCAGGCCG